This 425-nucleotide ribosomal RNA is filed under the name uncultured bacterium. Its description in RNAcentral is "partial 16S ribosomal RNA". It matches the Rfam family "Bacterial small subunit ribosomal RNA", at positions 354 to 796 of the family's 1533-position model. The record is from RNAcentral.
GUGGGGAAUAUUGGACAAUGGGCGCAAGCCUGAUCCAGCCAUGCCGCGUGAGUGAUGAAGGCCCUAGGGUUGUAAAGCUCUUUCACCGGAGAAGAUAAUGACGGUAUCCGGAGAAGAAGCCCCGGCUAACUUCGUGCCAGCAGCCGCGGUAAUACGAAGGGGGCUAGCGUUGUUCGGAAUUACUGGGCGUAAAGCGCACGUAGGCGGACAUUUAAGUCAGGGGUGAAAUCCCGGGGCUCAACCCCGGAACUGCCUUUGAUACUGGGUGUCUGGAGUAUGGAAGAGGUAAGUGGAAUUCCGAGUGUAGAGGUGAAAUUCGUAGAUAUUCGGAGGAACACCAGUGGCGAAGGCGACUGACUGGACAAGUAUUGACGCUGAGGUGCGAAAGCGUGGGGAGCAAACAGGAUUAGAAACCCCGGUAGUCC